CCCGGAACUGCUGGAAUUUCUGCGACAUCAGUAGCUGAGCACUGCCGACUGCACUGAGAACCUUUCCUAUUACUGUGAGCAAAAAAGAAGGAUUAGAAUGAGAACAGUUGGAGGACUGGCACUGUUUGGGAGCUCUCUCCAGCUGAUCUUCUCACGCUCUUACCAUUUAUUUAUUUUGGAGAUUCGUCAACUCAAAUGGGGCAAUGUUGAAAUCCCACUCAGAAAUGCCCAAUUCUUCCUGAUGUGCUCUGCCAUGCCACACUGUCAGAAAAAAUGUGCAAAAAUUGUACCUUUAGGGGUACAACAACUUGUCACUGGGGCAGUACCCUCAAAGGUACACCCACUGUACCCUUUAACAUGAGUACGAAUUGGUUCCCCUUGCAGAUUGUACCUUUCAAAGGCAAAUAUGUACUUUUGGCGACUAGAUUGGACCUCAGUGCCAUGGUACCUUAAAAAAAUGGUGCAAAUUUGGCCUUUUAAGGGUACUGCCCCAGUGACAAGCCCUUUGUACCACAUGAUAACAAAUUUGUACUCAACACAGCAUAUUGAAAUGCUGUUCUAUCAAAUUUAUUAUAUAACAUUGAAAUAUGCAUUCAUUUAAUGUGUACUUUUUCAGACAGUAUUACAAAAGCUACGCUGCAGUUUUUUUAAGUUUGGUUAGUGUAGUCAAACAGCAAGUCCUAAGACUGCUACAGGAAUUCCUCAAAGAACCAAGAUAAACAACCAGUUCCAAAAAGAGCCACUGAAAAUGUUUUCUUUCAGUUUGUACUAGACUCUAGCAACACCCCAUUCAACUUAGGGUGACAUGCCACAUAAAACAUAAAUAUAUAGAAAACAACAUAAUAAUAAAAAUGUAACUCUAACAAAAGGAAGAAGGAUUUAGGGGAGGGAUAAACAAUAAAACUUACAACCAUACAUUGAAUUCUCACUCUAUGCAAAAUAUAUGCAAAUUGGUCUAUUUCCCCAGUACACAUUUUGGUGAUGAACCUUCUACCAAUAGAUGGAGCUGUGCUACACAUGUCAAGAAACUUUCAACCAAUAGAUGGCGCUAUGGCAUGUUACACAAUGUCCAUGUAUGUUACUGGGGAAUGGUUACAAUUUUAUUUAAUUUUUUUAAAACAGGUUCUUAAACAGCUCUUGUUUAUUUUAUAGAUUUUGAAACAAAAAAUGUUCUCUGUAAUUUUAGUUAAUACAUUUGCUUUAAUACAUUUGAGUUAUCAUCUUGAUGCUUGAUGCUCUAAAUAUAAACAUUACAACGUUAA
Bombina bombina (fire-bellied toad) is the source of this 1262-nucleotide long non-coding RNA. RefSeq lists it as uncharacterized. The transcript has 2 exons. NCBI's taxonomy places the organism in Eukaryota, Metazoa, Chordata, Amphibia, Anura, Bombinatoridae. The record is from RefSeq and is a predicted model, not a curated record.